CCCCAUUGUCGCUAGUGUGAGACUCCUAAUAAAUAGAAUUAUCCAUGAAUAUGUGGAAUCAUACGGCCCGACGGUAAGACCCUGAGCACCUUAACUUCCCUAAAAGUUCUUAUGUGUUGGCAUGGUUACGAGAUUUAAGGAUGAAACCUUCCUGAUCGACUCGUGAGGUAAAAGAAACAGUCGGUGCGAAGUCGUAACAUGGUAGUUGACAGUGAACUUGUAGCUGAACCAAAA
This 234-nucleotide small RNA is filed under the name Plasmodium falciparum 3D7. Its description in RNAcentral is "Pfa-mtR5608". Lineage: Eukaryota; Apicomplexa; Aconoidasida; Haemosporida; Plasmodiidae. The record is from RNAcentral.